AGCUUCAAUAGCAUAUAUUAAAGCUGUUGUAGUUAAAACCCCCAUGGUUGAAUUUUUUGCUUGACACGUGGAUCCGCUCUUACGAGUGUGCACCACACAUGUCUGGCCAUUCUUUGGGAGAGCCACAGUGGCAUUAAGUUGUUGGUGUGGAAAUCCCAAGCAUUUACUGUGAAGAAACUAUAGUGUUCAAAGCAUGCUUACACCGUUGCAUGUUGCAGCAUGUAAUAAUAAUACAGGACUAUUGUACUACUUUAUUAGUUUGUUCACAAUAGUAACGAUGAACAGGAACAGUUGGUGGUAUUUGUAUUCCAUUGUCAGAGGUGAAAUUUUUAUUUUUUUGGAAGACAAACUACUGCGAAAAUAUUUAUCAAAGAUAUUUUCA
This 382-nucleotide ribosomal RNA is filed under the name uncultured eukaryote. RNAcentral describes it as "SSU rRNA". It matches the Rfam family "Eukaryotic small subunit ribosomal RNA", at positions 587 to 972 of the family's 1831-position model. The record is from RNAcentral.